UAGUUAGGAAAUAUUUAAUCAGAGUAAACCACCAUGUUUUAUAACAUUAAACAUAUGGGUAAAACCCAAGUUUUCAAUACACACAUUUCAUAGGAAUAAAUCCUAUUUAUUUAAUAAAAACAUCCGUUUUAUUUUUAGGUAACUUUAUUGCCACUUUUCCAAGCCUCCAGUGCUGUCCAGCUGGCUUCUAUUUGGCUUUCACAUUUUAUUACCUUGUUGGGGCUUGGCCUGCUACUGUUCUUAGUGUUGAUCAUUGGUAAUGAUAUCUGCCUUUUCUUUGACAACCAUAAUGACUUUGGAGAUGUUUCAACGAUUCGAAACUUUUGGUUCCAUAUGUGUUAUUCCACACUUAGCGCUAGGCCUGUAAAUGAAUCGAACGUUCAUGAACUGUUCGUGAACUUGUUCGGCGGGAAGUUCGUUUAUGUUCGUUUAUUUAAUAAACGAACACGAACAAAAAAUUUUGUUCGUUUAACUAAAUGAACGAACAUGAACACACCUUGUGUUCGUUCAUUUAUGUUCGUGAACGUUGUUUAUGUUCGUUCAUUUAUGUUCAUAAACGAGUUGAAGCAAACCCGCGCAUUGCGGCGGGAUGUUGAUUAUAAAUGUCUUUAGUAUUAAGAUAUGAGAUGCAAUUAUUAGUUUAAUUCGAAACAUAUUUUUCUUUUUGCUUUAUCCAUGGUUACAACAUCAAACCAAGACAUUUAUUUUAUAGAUUUCUGAAAACGGAAAUUAAAAAAUCGCAGUCGUAGCAAAGUAAUAAAUUUAAAUUUAAUGUUAUCAGAAUUUAAAUCCAACCAUUAGUUUGGUGAUGGUAUAAGACCAAUGGGUAUGGGGUUCGGCACAGGGCCGUCCCCCCCCCCCCCUUUAGGCAAGUCGCACACCGCCCCCUAGGGGCUUGGCUCGGCACAUGCGUCGGAUUUCAGACGGUGGACACGGGGCAAGAUGGAUGCUCCUCCUCCCGUGA
Molecule: long non-coding RNA, 964 nt
Filed under: Helianthus annuus (common sunflower)
Lineage: Eukaryota; Viridiplantae; Streptophyta; Magnoliopsida; Asterales; Asteraceae
Description: sRNA HanXRQr2_Chr17g0806711
Source: RNAcentral